Molecule: ribosomal RNA, 448 nt
Filed under: uncultured Bacteroidota bacterium
Lineage: Bacteria; Pseudomonadati; Bacteroidota
Description: bacterial SSU rRNA
Rfam family: Bacterial small subunit ribosomal RNA
Source: RNAcentral
AGAAUGUGAAGGAAUGAUACAGAAAUGGAUCAGUCAGCAAUGACCUGAAACAAGGUGCUGCAUGGCUGUCGUCAGCUCGUGCCGUGAGUUUUUGGUUUAAGUCCCGCAACGAGCGCAACCCCUGCAUUUAGUUGCCAGCACGUAAUGGUGGGAACUCUAAAUGGACUGCCUACGCAAGUAGAGAGGAAGGAGGGGACGACGUCAAGUCAUCAUGGCCCUUACGCCUAGGGCUACACACGUGCUACAAUGGGCGGUACAGAGGGUAGCUACCUGGUAACAGGAUGCCAAUCUCGAAAACCGUUCACAGUUCGGAUUGGGGUCUGCAACUCGACCCUAUGAAGCUGGAAUCGCUAGUAAUCGCGUAUCAGCAAUGACGCGGUGAAUACGUUCCCGGACCUUGUACACACCGCCCGUCAAGCCAUGAAAGUCUGGUAGACCUGAAGCUGCC